This 756-nucleotide ribosomal RNA is filed under the name uncultured organism. RNAcentral describes it as "SSU rRNA". It matches the Rfam family "Bacterial small subunit ribosomal RNA", at positions 49 to 794 of the family's 1533-position model. The record is from RNAcentral.
UAACACAUGCAAGUCGAGGGGCAGCAUCUUCUUAGCUUGCUAAGGCCGAUGGCGACCGGCGCACGGGUGAGUAACACGUAUCCAACCUGCCGUCUACUCUUGGACAGCCUUCUGAAAGGAAGAUUAAUACAAGAUGGCAUCAUGAGUCCGCAUGUUCACAUGAUUAAAGGUAUUCCGGUAGACGAUGGGGAUGCGUUCCAUUAGAUAGUAGGCGGGGUAACGGCCCACCUAGUCUUCGAUGGAUAGGGGUUCUGAGAGGAAGGUCCCCCACAUUGGAACUGAGACACGGUCCAAACUCCUACGGGAGGCAGCAGUGAGGAAUAUUGGUCAAUGGGCGAGAGCCUGAACCAGCCAAGUAGCGUGAAGGAUGACUGCCCUAUGGGUUGUAAACUUCUUUUAUAAAGGAAUAAAGUCGGGUAUGCAUACCCGUUUGCAUGUACUUUAUGAAUAAGGAUCGGCUAACUCCGUGCCAGCAGCCGCGGUAAUACGGAGGAUCCGAGCGUUAUCCGGAUUUAUUGGGUUUAAAGGGAGCGUAGAUGGAUGUUUAAGUCAGUUGUGAAAGUUUGCGGCUCAACCGUAAAAUUGCAGUUGAUACUGGAUAUCUUGAGUGCAGUUGAGGCAGGCGGAAUUCGUGGUGUAGCGGUGAAAUGCUUAGAUAUCACGAAGAACUCCGAUCGCGAAGGCAGCCUGCUAAGCUGCAACUGACAUUGAGGCUCGAAAGUGUGGGUAUCAAACAGGAUCAGAUACCCUGGUAGU